AACCCUUUGCAGAACCCUACGCAGAACCCUUUGUAGAACCCUACGAGAACUCUACGCAGAACCCUACUCACAACCCUUUGCAGAACCCUACCCAGAACCCUUUAUAGAACCCUUUGCAGAACCCUACCCAGAACCCUUUGCAGAACCCUACCCAGAACCCUUUGCAGAACCCUACCCAGAACCCUUUGCAGAACCCUACCCAGAACCCUUGCAGAACUCUACACAGAACCCACUCACAACCCUUUGCAGAACCCUACCCAGAACCCUUUGCAGAACCCUUUGCAGAACCCUUUGCAGAACCCUACCCAGAACCCUUUGCAGAACCCUACCCAGAACCCUGACGUGCACCUUCCUGAACGGGGUCCAUCGAGCUGUUGCCCUGAAAUGUAACAUUGACAUUUGAAAACAACAUGGGGCCUUUGGUGUCGACGCAGAUGUAAAUGAUCUUUUCAGCUCCACCCACUCGAGAGCGCCCUCUAGGUGAAUUUCAGCCAAUCGGGCUCUGGAUGAUGUCAAUACAUCGUCUUCACAAAGAACUCAGACAGUGCGAUGAAUGACACGACCCCAGCAUCACGACUUAGCUCCGUCUCUACGCAGCUCUGGUUCGUCCAAUCAGCAGGUUGUAAACAUUUACUGUUGCUUAGUGACCAAAUGAUGUGCAGCUAUUUAUUAACCACGUAGAUAAAUGACGCGUUUGUUUUUUGAAUCAAACAAAUCUAACAUGUAAAAUCCUGAAGGUUGAAAACUGGACUUUUCUGAACCAAAUGACGACGCAAGGAAUGAUGGGAAAUCACGGGACGUGUUUCAGCCGGAGGGAAGCUUCAGUUUUUGUGCCGACCUCAGCACCUGAAGUUUUAUUUACCGUCCUGACGUCCACCAGCAUCAGAUCGGAUCUUUACACGUGUUUUAUCUGAAGCUGCAUGAAGAGACUACGAUGAUUCAUCGUUCAACACGUUGAACAGAAGCAGCUCGAGUCCAACAUGGAGGAUUUUCUUUUGCUGAGUUUAGUCAUUUAGAUUUUCUUCGAGUUUCGCGAAGGUUUCACUUAUUUUUAUACUGUGGCGACUUUUCUCUCACAAACUAACAAUCAUCAGCUGACAUCAUAUGAAACAUAUUUGAGAUUUUAUCCACGUCAGUAUAUAAUAUAAUAAAAGAUGAUCUAACGAUUGAAACAGGAAUUAUUAGACUUUUUGUACUAAAUAUAUUUUCCUGACAUUUUAAAUGCAGUACUUUUAUUUUGGCAGUGCAGCGUUGGUACUUCCUGUCCCUCCUGCUCUGAUGACGUCAUGUUUCAAGUUAUUUACACUCAGUGUUUGUAUUGUUGUGAUUUAUUGAAGCUAAAAUGAGGUCAUGAGCUCGAUCUCGCUGCAGAAUCACUGUCAUGGCGUCGAUCCGUAUCACUGCUGCCUCGCCGCCUCGCCGCCACGCCGCCACGUGCUUCCUGCUUCUGUGGAACAAAAAGACUGAAAAUCAAAAAAAAAAAAGUGAGGUUUGUUUUUGGAGUGAACGCACAUUAGUCACUUUACGUCUCGAGAUGAUUGACUUUGUUCUUUCUCUUUGAUGAUACUGAGAGGAUUCACGCUUUGUUCGGAUUGGUUGAGUUUUCCUUCGAGACAGGAAGUGGGUUGCUGUGACUAACACCAUGACGACACAAAGAUUGUUCCAUGUUUCUUUUUUUUUCUUUUUGUACAUUUUCAGGUGAUUUAUUCUGUUAUUGAAUUAUUUUAAGCAUCUGAUUGGCUGAUGAAACUGCUGUAUGCAUGAUGUCACCGUGACGAUGUCAGACUUUUGUUCAACCUUUAUUUCGAUGGAUGAUAUAAUCACACUGGCAGUUACAUAGUGGGGGGUCGACCUGCAGCUGAUGAUGUCAUGAAUAACUGCAGCUGGAUGCAGGUGAUGUAACAGGUGAUGUAACAGGUGAUGUAACAGGUGAAUGGUGACGUGAGUGAAUAACAUGAGUUACAAUAAAGAGUGUUUCUCUUUGCUUUGA
Molecule: long non-coding RNA, 1990 nt
Organism: Hippoglossus stenolepis (Pacific halibut)
Lineage: Eukaryota; Metazoa; Chordata; Actinopteri; Pleuronectiformes; Pleuronectidae
Exons: 2
Source: RefSeq, a predicted model, not a curated record